GAUGAACGCUGGCGGCGUGCCUAAUACAUGCAAGUCGAGCGAACAGACGAGGAGCUUGCUCCUCUGACGUUAGCGGCGGACGGGUGAGUAACACGUGGAUAACCUACCUAUAAGACUGGGAUAACUUCGGGAAACCGGAGCUAAUACCGGAUAAUAUAUUGAACCGCAUGGUUCAAUAGUGAAAGACGGUUUUGCUGUCACUUAUAGAUGGAUCCGCGCCGCAUUAGCUAGUUGGUAAGGUAACGGCUUACCAAGGCAACGAUGCGUAGCCGACCUGAGAGGGUGAUCGGCCACACUGGAACUGAGACACGGUCCAGACUCCUACGGGAGGCAGCAGUAGGGAAUCUUCCGCAGUGGGCGAAAGCCUGACGGAGCAACGCCGCGUGAGUGAUGAAGGCCUUCGGAUCGUAAAACUCUGUUAUUAGGGAAGAACAAAUGUGUAAGUAACUAUGCACGUCUUGACGGUACCUAAUCAGAAAGCCACGGCUAACUACGUG
Molecule: ribosomal RNA, 497 nt
Filed under: uncultured bacterium
Lineage: Bacteria
Description: partial 16S ribosomal RNA
Rfam family: Bacterial small subunit ribosomal RNA
Source: RNAcentral